GCUGGGCAUGGUGGUGGGUGCCUGUAAUCCCAGCUCCUUGGGAGGCUGAGGCAGGAGAAUUGCUUGAACCCAGGAGGCGGAGGUUGCAGUGAGCUGAGAUUGUGCCACUGCACUCCAGCCUGGGCAACAGAGCGAGACUCUGUCUCAA
This 148-nucleotide non-coding RNA is filed under the name Pan paniscus (pygmy chimpanzee). RNAcentral also lists the same sequence under 1 other name. Lineage: Eukaryota; Metazoa; Chordata; Mammalia; Primates; Hominidae. The record is from Rfam by way of RNAcentral.